This 1470-nucleotide ribosomal RNA is filed under the name uncultured bacterium. RNAcentral's name for it is "bacterial SSU rRNA". It matches the Rfam family "Bacterial small subunit ribosomal RNA". The record is from RNAcentral.
AGAGUUUGAUCCUGGCUCAGGACGAACGCUGGCGGCGUGCUUAACACAUGCAAGUCGAACGGAAAGGCCCUGCUUUUGUGGGGUGCUCGAGUGGCGAACGGGUGAGUAACACGUGAGUAACCUGCCCUUGACUUUGGGAUAACUUCAGGAAACUGGGGCUAAUACCGGAUAGGAGCUCCUGCUGCAUGGUGGGGGUUGGAAAGUUUCGGCGGUUGGGGAUGGACUCGCGGCUUAUCAGCUUGUUGGUGGGGUAGUGGCUUACCAAGGCUUUGACGGGUAGCCGGCCUGAGAGGGUGACCGGCCACAUUGGGACUGAGAUACGGCCCAGACUCCUACGGGAGGCAGCAGUGGGGAAUAUUGCACAAUGGGCGGAAGCCUGAUGCAGCAACGCCGCGUGCGGGAUGACGGCCUUCGGGUUGUAAACCGCUUUCGCCUGUGACGAAGCGUGAGUGACGGUAAUGGGUAAAGAAGCACCGGCUAACUACGUGCCAGCAGCCGCGGUGAUACGUAGGGUGCGAGCGUUGUCCGGAUUUAUUGGGCGUAAAGGGCUCGUAGGUGGUUGAUCGCGUCGGAAGUGUAAUCUUGGGGCUUAACCCUGAGCGUGCUUUCGAUACGGGUUGACUUGAGGAAGGUAGGGGAGAAUGGAAUUCCUGGUGGAGCGGUGGAAUGCGCAGAUAUCAGGAGGAACACCAGUGGCGGCGAAAGCGUGGGGAGCGAACAGGCUUAGAUACCCUGGUAGUCCACGCGGUAAACGGUGGGUACUAGGUGUGGGGUCCAUUCCACGGGUUCCGUGCCGUAGCUAACGCUUUAAGUACCCCGCCUGGGGAGUACGGCCGCAAGGCUAAAACUCAAAGGAAUUGACGGGGCCCCGCACAAGCGGCGGAGCAUGCGGAUUAAUUCGAUGCAACGCGUAGAACCUUACCUGGGUUUGACAUGGAUCGGGAGUGCUCAGAGAUGGGUGUGCCUCUUUUGGGGUCGGUUCACAGGUGGUGCAUGGCUGUCGUCAGCUCGUGUCGUGAGAUGUUGGGUUAAGUCCCGCAACGAGCGCAACCCUUGUUCACUGUUGCCAGCACGUUAUGGUGGGGACUCAGUGGAGACCGCCGGGGUCAACUCGGAGGAAGGUGGGGAUGACGUCAAGUCAUCAUGCCCCUUAUGUCCAGGGCUUCACGCAUGCUACAAUGGCUGGUACAGAGAGUGGCGAGCCUGUGAGGGUGAGCGAAUCUCGGAAAGCCGGUCUCAGUUCGGAUUGGGGUCUGCAACUCGACCUCAUGAAGUCGGAGUCGCUAGUAAUCGCAGAUCAGCAACGCUGCGGUGAAUACGUUCCCGGGGCUUGUACACACCGCCCGUCAAGUCAUGAAAGUUGGUAACACCCGAAGCCGGUGGCCUAACCGUUGUGGGGGAGCCGUCGAAGGUGGGACUGGUGAUUAGGACUAAGUCGUAACAAGGUAACCAAGGGCGAAUUCCACAGUG